UUGCUUGUUUUCAAAGAUUAAGCCAUGCAUGUCUAAGUUCAAGCCUUCCUAAUGCCAAACCGCAAACGGCUCAUUAAAUCAGUCUCAAUUCCCGAGGUACCGAGGAAACUUGUCUUUACUCGGAUAACUGUGGCAAAUCUAGAGCUAAUACGUGCGACUGAGCCCUGACAAGCCUCUCGUCGCUUCGGCGACGGGGGCGUGGAAGGGCGCAAUUAUUAGAACCGCAAACCGAGCUUGCCGGUGAGUGGUGACUCUGGAUAAUAUUGCCGAGCGCUGAGGCCUUCGAGCCGACGCUUUAUCUCUCGAGAGACUGCCCUAUCAGCUGUCGAUUGUAAGUUAAACGCUUACUCUGGCAGUAACGGGUAACGGGGAAUCAGGGUUCGAUUCCGGAGAGGGAGCCUGAGAAACGGCUACCACAUCUAAGGAAGGCAGCAGGCACGCAAAUUACCCACUCCCGGCUCGGGGAGGUAGUGACGAGGAAUAACGAUGCGGGUUUCUCUUCCGAGGCCCCGCAAUCGGAAUGAAUUCACCCUAAAUCCUUGUUUGAGGAUCCACGGGAGGGCAAGUCUGGUGCCAGCAGCCGCGGUAAUUCCAGCUCCUGCAGCGUAUAUUAAUGUUGCUGCGGUUAAAAAGCUCGUAGUUGGACUUUACGCCCUCAUUCGCGGGAGUCUCGGGCGAGGGGCGGCGAAGGAGGUUGAAGGCGCGAAGGCGGCUAGGGCGUUUUAAAAAUCUUCUCGCCUCGGCGAGGAGGAGCUACCCUUAAUUCCGGAGCGUUCUUUCUCCUCUCUCCCGCCGUCUCCCUCGCUGCGGGGUUUUUAAGCUCACGCGUGAGGGUCAGUAAAGGCUCCGUCGACUCUCGCGGGAUACUCUUUACCGAGCGUCCCGCGCGGUUGACGACGAUCACUUUGAAAAAAUUAGAGUGCUCAAAGCAGGCAAAAAUACACGCCUGAAUAUAUUGUGCAUAGUACGAUGAAACAGGACCUCGGUUCUGCUAACUGAAAGUUUUUUACUUUCGUUUUUCCUCGGUUUUUAAAGCCCAGGAAUACGAGGUAAUGAUUAAAGGGGACGAACGGGGGCAUUAGUACUGCGGCGCUAGAGGUGAAAUUCUUGGACCGUCGCAAGACUAACUAAAGCGAAAGCAUUUGCCAAGUACGUCUCCAUUAAUCAAGAACGAAAGUUAGAGGAUCGAAGGCGAUCAGAUACCGCCCUAGUUCUAACCGUAAACUAUGCUGACUAGCGAUACGCUUAGGUCAAUCCCACGACUGAGCGUGCAGCCCCCGGGAAACCAAAGUCUUUGAGUUCCGGGGGUAGUAUGGUCGCAAAGCUGAAACUUAAAGGAAUUGACGGAAGGGCACCACCAGGAGUGGAGCCUGCGGCUUAAUUUGACUCAACACGGGGAAACUCACCAGGUCCGGACACUGCGAGGAUUGACAGAUUAAGAGCUCUUUCACGAUUUGGUGGUUGGUGGUGCAUGGCCGUUCUUAGUUGGUGGAGCGAUCUGUCUGGUUAAUUCCGAUAACGAACGAGACUCCAUCCUAUUAAGUAGCCGGUGGAUCGUAACCCAAUCGCCCCGAGGUUAUCGCCGCGGUCUCGCGUCGGCGGAGCGCGGUAAGAAUGGGGGGUUUGGAGAGGCUCUCGGCGGCUGGGGCGCGCGUUUCGUCUCGGGUUUUUACGGGGGGUUUCCUACACGGGAGCUUACCCGGGGAGCUCGGGGCGGGGGUGAGUUUUCGGCCGUCGAUCCUCUCUUUUUUUCCCCUUCUUCCCCCUUCUCCUCGCGUAGAUUGUUUGGCGAGCCCGGGGCUUGGGGCGUCCACCGCGAGUCUUCUUAGAGGGAUCGCCGGUGUCUAGCCGGAAGAGAGAGAGCAAUAACAGGUCUGUGAUGCCCUUAGAUGUCCUGGGCUGCACGCGCGCGACAAUGUAGUGCGCAGCGAGCUCAUCCUUCUCCGAGAGGAGCGGGGAACCUGGUGAAACCCCUACCCGGUUGGGAUUGGGGAUUGUAAGUAUUCCCCAUGAACGAGGAAUUCCUCGUAAGCGCAAGUCAGCAGCUUGCGAUGAUUACGUCCCUGCCCUUUGUACACACCGCCCGUCGCUACUACCGAUGAAUGAUUCAGUGAGGGCGUCGGACUGGCGCCUCGGGAAGCAGAUGCUCUCGCCCGGCCCGCGUCGUCUUUUCCCGCUCUUCGGAGGGGGGGAGCGCGCGAUCGUCGGGGCUAGCGUUUGUUUGCUCCCACUGGCUCGCCGGGAAGACGUCCGAACUACGUCAUUUAGAGGAAGUAAAAGUCGUAACAAGGUAGCGGUAGGUGAACCUGCGG
Molecule: ribosomal RNA, 2312 nt
Filed under: Paracassidinopsis perlata
Lineage: Eukaryota; Metazoa; Arthropoda; Malacostraca; Isopoda; Sphaeromatidae
Description: SSU rRNA
Rfam family: Eukaryotic small subunit ribosomal RNA
Source: RNAcentral